RNAcentral lists this ribosomal RNA (588 nucleotides) under uncultured organism. RNAcentral describes it as "bacterial SSU rRNA". It matches the Rfam family "Bacterial small subunit ribosomal RNA", at positions 910 to 1510 of the family's 1533-position model. The record is from RNAcentral.
UUGACGGGGGCCCGCACAAGCAGCCGGAGCGUGUGGUUUAUUUCGAUGCUACACGAAGAACCUUACCUGGGUUUGACAUGCACGUGGUAGGGAACCGAAAGGGGACCGACCUUCGGGAGCGUGCACAGGUGCUGCAUGGCUGUCGUCAGCUCGUGCCGUGAGGUGUCGGGUUAAGUCCCGUAACGAGCGCAACCCUUGCCCUUAGUUACAAGUGUCUAAGGGGACUGCCCGGGACAACUGGGAGGAAGGUGGGGAUGACGUCAAGUCAGCAUGGCCUUUAUAUCCAGGGCUACACACACGCUACAAUGGCCGGUACAAUAGGUUGCGAAGUCGUGAGGCGGAGCCAAUCCUCAAAGCCGGUCUCAGUUCGAAUUGCAGUCUGCAACUCGACUGCAUGAAGCUGGAGUUGCUAGUAAUCGCAGGUCAGCUAUACUGCGGUGAAUACGUUCCCGGGCCUUGUACACACCGCCCGUCACGUCAUGGAAGCUGGCAACGCCUGAAGCCGGUGAGCUAACCCGAAAGGGAGGCAGCCGUCGAGGGUGGGGCUGGUAACUGGGACGAAGUCGUAACAAGGUAACCAAGGGCGAA